UCUCCUCCGCCUCUCGAGCUCCUCCGCCUCCUCCAUCCCACAACGCCCCCUUCCCUUCCUGCCCGUUCUCCUCCUCUCUCUCGUCUCCACAGGCUCGGCCGCAGCAGGCCGCUCCAUCUCCUCCCCCGCGCUGCUCGUCCUUGUCGCUGGGAGGACCAAUGUUUCUACCAUCGCACCACCUGAAGCAGCACGAUGCAAGGGAUGGACGUCGGAGCUCCGCCACCACGCCCCUCCUCCGUUUACCUUGGGGCGCCCACUGGUGAGAAGGAAGAGCAUAGUGGCCUGCCCUUCUCCACCUCUUCUUCCAGAUGCUUAUGUUCAGAUUUCUUGUGGAAUGCCGCCUUUCAUUGAUGUGCAAUCCUUAAAGAAAUACAUGAGGGUGGUCAGGAAGUAUUUAAGCGUGUUGGUGCCUACUACAGAAAAUGGCAGCAUCAAAAAUGGUAUUUAGCCCUAAUGAUGCAUUUUUCUACUUCAUUCCCAUAGUAGAUAAAUUAUUUUUGAUUCAAUUGCAUUUGAUCUAUAACCCUCCGGCUAUUUUGAUUCAGGUAUAUUGUAGAGCAAGAAUAUCAAUAUCUCUGUUUCCAUGUUCAGUGAAUACAUGUGAACAAACUCGAACUGGGCCUGAAGAGGAAGUUUUUGCAUUGCUUGCACGGUAAAUUGGGCGAACUUCUGAGAUUAUUUGGGCAUUUUUUUACCUGUGAGCCUAUGUGCCCAUUCACUAGCCCUAUGCGCCCAUCCCUGAAGCUCCGGUUCAUCUAGGUCGACAGUAACUAUGGUAAAAGAAACCAACGAAUUGGUCUGCAAGGUUGGGAUUCACCAAUUGCCAAC
Lolium rigidum is the source of this 828-nucleotide long non-coding RNA. RefSeq lists it as uncharacterized. NCBI's taxonomy places the organism in Eukaryota, Viridiplantae, Streptophyta, Magnoliopsida, Poales, Poaceae. The record is from RefSeq and is a predicted model, not a curated record. The transcript is spliced from 5 exons.